This 485-nucleotide ribosomal RNA is filed under the name uncultured bacterium. Its description in RNAcentral is "partial 16S ribosomal RNA". It matches the Rfam family "Bacterial small subunit ribosomal RNA", at positions 899 to 1397 of the family's 1533-position model. The record is from RNAcentral.
ACUCAAAUGAAUUGACGGGAGCUCGCACAAGUGGUGGAGCGUGUGGCUCAAUUCGUCGCUAAACGAAGAACCUUACCAAGAUUAGACAUCCUGCUGCACGCCUAGGGAAACCUAGGAAGCUUUCGAAGGUGCAGGACAGGUGAUGCACGGCUGUCGUCAGUUCGUGGUUUGAAUCGUUCCCUUCAGUGGGGUAACGAACGCAACCCUCGUUGCCAGUUACAAGUGUCUGGCGAGACUGCCCCCUCACGGGGGAGGAAGGUGAGGAUGACGCCAAGUCAGCGUGUCCCUCUGAUAUCUUGGGCCGCACACGCGCUACAAUCGCAUUUACAAAGGGGCGCAAUAUCGCAAGAUGGAGCAAAUCCCUAAAAGAUGCGCCAGUUCGGAUUGGAGUCUGCAACUCGACUCCAUGAAGCCGGAAUCACUAGUAAUCGUGGGUCAGCUAUACCACGGUGAAUACGUUCUCGAGCUUUGUACACACCGCCCGU